UAGUUUCCCCGGACAUAAUCUCUAUUGUCUUGAGCUACUCGAUAUUCCGCUUGUAACUGAGUGAGCUGCUGCCUUAGAUUUUGAUUCUCCUCUGACACUUGCUCUAUUCUCUUAGACAAAUCUUCAAGGUGUUUCUCCGAAAAUGACAUCUUGAUUCUAUUAUCUACUUCCUUCUCAUUAAAUGAAGAGUCUUCCCUUUGUAGAGA
RNAcentral lists this long non-coding RNA (206 nucleotides) under Capsicum annuum. Its description in RNAcentral is "long non-coding RNA (CANN_LNC022466)". Lineage: Eukaryota; Viridiplantae; Streptophyta; Magnoliopsida; Solanales; Solanaceae. The record is from RNAcentral.